GAGGACUUAGCUUAAUUAAAGUAGUUGAUUUGCAUUCAACUGAUGUAGGAUAAAUUCUUGCAGUCCUUA
This 69-nucleotide transfer RNA is filed under the name Microcebus margotmarshae (Margot Marsh's mouse lemur). RNAcentral's name for it is "tRNA-Ala". It matches the Rfam family "tRNA". Rfam says of the family: Transfer RNA (tRNA) molecules are approximately 80 nucleotides in length. Their secondary structure includes four short double-helical elements and three loops (D, anti-codon, and T loops). Lineage: Eukaryota; Metazoa; Chordata; Mammalia; Primates; Cheirogaleidae. The record is from RNAcentral.